UCCUCCCCCAGAGGCAUUGCAGGUGUGGCUCCUGUAUCACGUGUGCAUCAGUAGACGGCAGAGAGGAGAGAGGCUACGACUAUGCUCAGUGUUUCUGACCUGUGAACACUGAGUAAUUGAUUAGUAGCUUAACAUU
Molecule: small nucleolar RNA, 136 nt
Organism: Grammomys surdaster
Lineage: Eukaryota; Metazoa; Chordata; Mammalia; Rodentia; Muridae
Product: small nucleolar RNA SNORA17
Exons: 1
Source: RefSeq, a predicted model, not a curated record